RNAcentral lists this transfer RNA (84 nucleotides) under Candidatus Riesia sp. RNAcentral's name for it is "tRNA-OTHER". It matches the Rfam family "tRNA". From Rfam's summary of the family: Transfer RNA (tRNA) molecules are approximately 80 nucleotides in length. Lineage: Bacteria; Pseudomonadati; Pseudomonadota; Gammaproteobacteria; Enterobacterales; Enterobacteriaceae. The record is from RNAcentral.
AAGCGGAUGGCAGAGUGGCUAAAUGCGGGUUCUGCUAAGGACUUUCCUAAUAAUGGAACAUGGGUUCGAAUCCCAUUCCGCCCA